GGGCAGAUGGCCGAGUGGUUUAAGGCGGAGGCCUUAAGAUCCUCUGACGAGAGUCGCGUGGGUUCGAACCCCACUCUGCCCA
Non-coding RNA from Cladochytrium tenue, 82 nucleotides. The record is from the annotation of a GenBank genome assembly. NCBI's taxonomy places the organism in Eukaryota, Fungi, Chytridiomycota, Chytridiomycetes, Cladochytriales, Cladochytriaceae.